Molecule: ribosomal RNA, 505 nt
Filed under: uncultured bacterium
Lineage: Bacteria
Description: bacterial SSU rRNA
Rfam family: Bacterial small subunit ribosomal RNA
Source: RNAcentral
CUACGAGCCAGCAGCCGCGGUAAUACGGAAGGUCCAGGCGUUAUCCGGAUUUAUUGGGUUUAAAGGGAGUGUAGGCGGUUUGUUAAGCGUGUUGUGAAAUUUAGGUGCUCAACAUUUAACUUGCAGCGCGAACUGUCAGACUUGAGUACACGCAACGUAUGCGGAAUUCAUGGUGUAGCGGUGAAAUGCUUAGAUAUCAUGAAGAACUCCGAUUGCGAAGGCAGCAUACGGGAGUGUAACUGACGCUUAAGCUCGAAGGUGCGGGUAUCGAACAGGAUUAGAUACCCUGGUAGUCCGCACAGUAAACGAUGGAUGCCCGCUGUUAGCGCCUGGCGUUAGCGGCUAAGCGAAAGCAUUAAGCAUCCCACCUGGGGAGUACGCCGGCAACGGUGAAACUCAAAGGAAUUGACGGGGGCCCGCACAAGCGGAGGAACAUGUGGUUUAAUUCGAUGAUACGCGAGGAACCUUACCCGGGCUUGAAUUGCAGAGGAAUUAUUUAGAGAUA